CUGUCAUAUUUUGUUUUUUCUGCUGUAAAUGUUUGGGGAGUUUUUGUGUUUUAAGAUUUUCAGGGUUUGGUUUUCCUUCAAUGCUGUCAGCUGGAUUAGUUGGCCAUCAUUUAUCGACAAACAUCACAACUGUUGCUGUCAGUAUCUUUUGAUGGAUGCAGUAAUAAAUCCAGAUGAUUUUUCAUCACUUCAGAGGUGGUCUCUGGAUGAAGUCACUUUUGUUUCUCCUGUGGAAAGAUCCCAGAUGAGAUGCUGAUGAUUCUGAGCUCAGUUUUUUAAGCAGGAGUGACAUACAGCAUCAUUUCUAUAAUAAAGACUGCAACAUGUAAAAAACUCAUCGUGACACCCAGAUUGCUGAAGACUUGGAAACACAAGUGAUGACUUAAAGACCUCAGGACUGGACCCACAGCCUGAUCCUCAGGUUUACACCAAACAGUGUGCAGGCCUGUGAUAUGCCACGGACAAAAGAAGAAGAAAUGAAGCCCACAACCCCAAAUCCCCUAAAUAUUAUUAUUAAAGACAGACACAAAAUAUUUUAAAUGCAAAAUAAAUAAUUUUUUACACAUUGACCUUCAUUAAACAUAUUCAUUUAAACAACAAACUUCAUUAAAACCCCUGGACCCCCUCAUCAGUUCUCCAGUUUAAUAGUCAUCAAAAUAAUGUUUUAUCAGAUAAGUUGUUAUUUUAACAGUGUUUAUUAAACGUUA
Paramisgurnus dabryanus is the source of this 707-nucleotide long non-coding RNA. RefSeq lists it as uncharacterized. The record is from RefSeq and is a predicted model, not a curated record. NCBI's taxonomy places the organism in Eukaryota, Metazoa, Chordata, Actinopteri, Cypriniformes, Cobitidae.